This 303-nucleotide long non-coding RNA is filed under the name Homo sapiens (human). RNAcentral's name for it is "non-protein coding lnc-SPTBN5-5:1". Lineage: Eukaryota; Metazoa; Chordata; Mammalia; Primates; Hominidae. The record is from RNAcentral.
UGAACACACCAGAAAUUUGUCAUUGCCAUCUCAACCAAAACUGGCAUUAGCAAUGUAAAAAUCCCAAAACAUCUUAUUGAUGCUCACUUCGAGAAGCAGUUGCAGAAGCCCAGACACCAGGAAGGUGAGAUCUCUGACACAGAAAAAGAGAACUACAAGACUACAGAGCAGUGCAAGAUUGAUCAGAAAGCUGUGGACUCACAAAUUGUACGAAAAAUCAAAGCUAUUCCUCAGCUCCAGGGCUACCUGCGAUCUGUGUUUGCCCUGACGAAUGGAAUUUAUCCUCACAAAUUGGUGUUUUAA